Molecule: non-coding RNA, 811 nt
Organism: Phalacrocorax carbo (great cormorant)
Lineage: Eukaryota; Metazoa; Chordata; Aves; Suliformes; Phalacrocoracidae
Source: RefSeq, a predicted model, not a curated record
GCUAUCCAUUGCACAGAUCUCUGGAGGGCAAUUAACUCGUGGUUAGCUGGUGUGCAAAGUCAGUGUGAACUAGUCUACUCCCUCAGAAGUGGUUCUAGAGGAAAUACUGAACUGGAAGAACUGCAGAAACACAUUACAUGCAACUGGAGAGAAACAGAGUUAGAAAAAUGGUACCUACCCUUGAAGAUAUUCAGGAUUAGAAACUCCACAACUUCCAGGGUUUCAAGCAUGCUAUUAUCUGAGUUUGUUAAUGCUUGUCUUCUGAAGGAAGAUUACACAUUAUUCCCAUUCCCUUUUACACAGGGACACGGGACUUAUGCAGUCACACCGUUCUCUGUCACCUCCACCGCUUCCUGACAAACAGCUUUUGAACCGCUUGGUCAAUGCCAUCUAAAUACGAUGAAAGCUCUCAAAGAUUGACUUUAAUAGGUUGCUGCUAUAGAAGGCCAUCAUCUCAAAUUCAAUAUGGUAAAAAGAUGACUGGGAAGGUAAAACCAUUUGCUUGCCGUUGCUCAGCAAGCCCAUACACAGAACUGCCGUAUCACCAAUGCUGGUCCUGGGCUGAGGUUGUAAGACCACAACUUCAGCUACUGUGUCUUAAGUUACCACUGUGGGUGGUAAAUAAAAGAUCAGUUCACUAAAGCCAGACCUACAGGGUCACUGAAAGGCACUUUACACUUGUUUGCUUCCUCCUCAAUGCUGUUUGUUUGUGUUUCACAGCAGACUCCUCCCAUCACUAUGAAAACCUCCAUCUACCAGAUCCAUGUUAAAUAUAGCCUAAACAAGACACCCACAAACUGAAUAAUACAGG